UAUCCGACCUCAGAUUGCAGAGAUACCCGCUGAAAUA
RNAcentral lists this ribosomal RNA (37 nucleotides) under Biomphalaria straminea. RNAcentral describes it as "partial 28S ribosomal RNA". Lineage: Eukaryota; Metazoa; Mollusca; Gastropoda; Planorbidae. The record is from RNAcentral.